This 552-nucleotide ribosomal RNA is filed under the name Kumococius rodericensis (spiny flathead). Its description in RNAcentral is "partial 16S ribosomal RNA". It matches the Rfam family "Bacterial large subunit ribosomal RNA", at positions 1851 to 2584 of the family's 2925-position model. Lineage: Eukaryota; Metazoa; Chordata; Actinopteri; Perciformes; Platycephalidae. The record is from RNAcentral.
GGUCCUGCCUGCCCAGUGACUCUACGUUCAACGGCCGCGGUAUUUUAACCGUGCAAAGGUAGCGCAAUAACUUGUCUUUUAAAUGAAGACUAGUAUGAAUGGCCUCACGAGGGCUUAUCUGUCUCCUUUUUUAAGUCAAUGAAAUUGAUCUCCCCGUGCAAAAGCGGGGAUACAAACAUAAGACGAGAAGACCCUGUGGAGCUUUAGACACCAAGAUAGACCACGUUAAUAAUACCUCAACAAGGGUCUAAACUAAAACUUUCCUACUCUGAUGUCUUUGGUUGGGGCGACCGCGGAGAAUAAAAUAACCUCCCCUCCGCGUGGAGUGGGGCCAUAAAAACUAAAAUCCCUACAACCAAGAGUCACAACUCGAACUAACAGAACCUUCUGACCAUAAAUGAUCCGGCAUUCGACCGAUCAACGAACCAAGUUACCCCAGGGAUAACAGCGCAAUCCCCUUUUAGAGCCCGUAUCAACAAGGGGGUUUACGACCUCGAUGUUGGAUCAGGACAUCCUAAUGGUGCAACCGCUAUUAAGGGUUCGUUUGUUCAA